RNAcentral lists this ribosomal RNA (371 nucleotides) under uncultured bacterium. Its description in RNAcentral is "bacterial SSU rRNA". It matches the Rfam family "Bacterial small subunit ribosomal RNA", at positions 525 to 896 of the family's 1533-position model. The record is from RNAcentral.
ACGUAGGGUGCGAGCGUUAAUCGGAAUUACUGGGCGUAAAGCGUGCGCAGGCGGUUUCGCAAGUCAGAUGUGAAAGCCCCGGGCUUAACCUGGGAACUGCGUUUGAAACUACGAGGCUAGAGUACGGCAGAGGGAGGUGGAAUUCCAAGUGUAGCAGUGAAAUGCGUAGAUAUUUGGAGGAACACCGAUGGCGAAGGCAGCCUCCUGGGCUAGUACUGACGCUCAUGCACGAAAGCGUGGGGAGCAAACAGGAUUAGAUACCCUGGUAGUCCACGCCCUAAACGAUGGCAACUAGUUGUUGGGGAUUAACAUCCUUAGUAACGUAGCUAACGCGUGAAGUUGCCCGCCUGGGGAGUACGGUCGCAAGAUUA